AACGCCUGUCCCGACGCCUCCAAGCCCAUCAACAUCGGCGCAUAGUACUUCGGCAAUCCCAUCAAAAGUAGCGAAGCGAGCCACUCAUCAGCAACAGGGAAAUUUUUUUCAGCCAGCUUGUGGCUCGUUGAAACCAUGGCAUCCACGCACGUUUCUGUUCUCGAAAAAUUUUCCAGUCGGAUCGAAGUAAGCUGCUGCAAUAAAACAAUGCGACAAUAAAUUCCGUCAUCUUGAAAUGCGUUUUUCAGCUUUCCUCCUCUCCUGCGUUCUUCGCGUCCAUAACCAGGCUGUAAUUCGUCUUUUCCAGGGAUAGGCAGAUUGUGGACAGCGCCUUCAUGUCAAUCUCCUCCUCGACGACUUCGCCUUCCUUCGGUUCGACCGCGCACCAGGAACCCUCCCGGAUGAGCGUCAUUUUCAUUGCGAAUGUCCACGAAACGAAAUUUUCUCGGCCCUUCAGCUUCCCGAUCGUCAGAGCCACACUGCUUCCGCCGGUCGCACGAACCGCUCUCGCCGCACCGCUUCCAAUAUCUCCCGACCCGCUGCUUCCGCUACCAGAGUACAUUUUCGUUUCUUGAAGAGCUUCUUGAUUUUACUGCUUGAGGAUUUUCUAUCUCGAGAAUUUUCUACACUGAACCCAAAAUCACACUUAAAAUACACUUGACGUUUCACUUAAAAGUGGGAGUUCAGUGAAUUUCUUCAUUUCAAGUGGCUCAUGUAGAUUUCACUUACCCGUCACUUAUGUUUCAAGUGACCGAAUCAAUGUUCACUAACUCAUCACAUAAGUUUUAAGUGACUGUCACUUAAAAUUCCUCUGAAAAUCCACUUACUUCGCCGCUCACUCCAAUUUCAUUACAUUCUCACUUAAAAUUCACUUGACCCGUCACUUAAUUGUCAAAUUCACUUGACCGGUCACUUAAAAUUGAAAUGAAUGUACAGGUAGCGAAUGACAGCCAUGUUGUGAAAGAUUGUUUUUAUUAUGGAAACAUAACAGAAUUGUGUAUGAGCUGGUAGGUGCAGAAAAAGAGUCAUUUAUAAGUUUCAUAACAAUUAUAUACUUCCAGAGCCCGAGAAAAAUAUCCUGUGAGGCGGAUAAUACGUCGUAGUGCAACUAUUCAUCCGAAUGAGGGGCCAAAAUAUGAAUCGGCAGAAGUUGUAACUUCUACAGAGCAACUAUGAAUAAAUUGGCCAUGGUGGGAAAUCUUUGUUGGAUAUUUCGGAAAUGCUUCCCGAUGGUAUUUUUAUUCUGAAAUUUUCAAGAACAGUGCGAAUAAAAAAAAUAUCAGCCUAAAUUUUGGGAAAAAAUCGAAAAAGUAGAUGAGUAUUUCAAGCCAAAACUUUAAUUUGAACCCAUCAAUAAAUUUGUGA
Molecule: long non-coding RNA, 1365 nt
Organism: Uranotaenia lowii
Lineage: Eukaryota; Metazoa; Arthropoda; Insecta; Diptera; Culicidae
Exons: 3
Source: RefSeq, a predicted model, not a curated record